This 468-nucleotide ribosomal RNA is filed under the name uncultured bacterium. Its description in RNAcentral is "partial 16S ribosomal RNA". It matches the Rfam family "Bacterial small subunit ribosomal RNA", at positions 28 to 507 of the family's 1533-position model. The record is from RNAcentral.
GACGAACGCUGGCGGCGUGCUUAACACAUGCAAGUCGAACGGAAAGGCCCUGCUUUUGUGGGGUGCUCGAGUGGCGAACGGGUGAGUAACACGUGAGUAACCUGCCCUUGACUUUGGGAUAACUUCAGGAAACUGGGGCUAAUACCGGAUAGGAGCUCCUGCUGCAUGGUGGGGGUUGGAAAGUUUCGGCGGUUGGGGAUGGACUCGCGGCUUAUCAGCUUGUUGGUGGGGUAGUGGCUUACCAAGGCUUUGACGGGUAGCCGGCCUGAGAGGGUGACCGGCCACAUUGGGACUGAGAUACGGCCAAGAAUCCUACGGGAGGCAGCAGGGGGGAAUAAUGCACAAUGGGCGGAAGCCUGAUGCAGCAACGCCGCGUGCGGGAUGACGGCCUUCGGGUUGUAAACCGCUUUCGCCUGUGACGAAGCGUGAGUGACGGUAAUGGGUAAAGAAGCACCGGCUAACUACGUG